RNAcentral lists this ribosomal RNA (372 nucleotides) under uncultured organism. Its description in RNAcentral is "partial 16S ribosomal RNA". It matches the Rfam family "Bacterial small subunit ribosomal RNA", at positions 527 to 896 of the family's 1533-position model. The record is from RNAcentral.
GUAGGUGGCAAGCGUUGUCCGGAAUUAUUGGGCGUAAAGCGCGCGCAGGCGGUCCUUUAAGUCUGAUGUGAAAGCCCACGGCUCAACCGUGGAGGGUCAUUGGAAACUGGAGGACUUGAGUACAGAAGAGGAAAGCGGAAUUCCACGUGUAGCGGUGAAAUGCGUAGAGAUGUGGAGGAACACCAGUGGCGAAGGCGGCUUUCUGGUCUGUAACUGACGCUGAGGCGCGAAAGCGUGGGGGAGCAAACAGGAUUAGAUACCCUGGUAGUCCACGCCGUAAACGAUGAGUGCUAAGUGUUAGGGGGUUUCCGCCCCUUAGUGCUGCGGCUAACGCAUUAAGCACUCCGCCCUGGGAGUACGGCCGCAAGGCUG